This 3560-nucleotide long non-coding RNA is filed under the name Homo sapiens (human). Its description in RNAcentral is "HSALNT0114288". The record is from RNAcentral. Lineage: Eukaryota; Metazoa; Chordata; Mammalia; Primates; Hominidae.
ACAGGGCCUCACUCUGUCACUCAGGCUGGAGUGAAGUGGUGCAAUCACAGUUCACUGAAACCUUGAACUCCUGGGUACAAGGAAUCCUCCUGUCUGGAACUACAGGAAGAAGAUGAUUUUUCACCUAGUGGAGUCAUUGAACAGUGGUCUUCAAAUUGGGAUUAUUUCCAAGAAUAGAUUAAAAUGCCAUGAAAAAGAAAAAAUUAUAGAAAAGCAAAAAGAGCUGAAUGCAGUGAAUGAACAUCUGUGAAUGAAGUUGAGAAGGUAUAUGUGGGGCAGACUAGAAUUGCAGUGCACAGAUACAAGAAUGUUGCCUGCUUUGGAGCCAAGACUGCCUUCCGGAUAAAGGGCCCACAGAGAGCUGAGAGCUGUGUAAUACCUCAAAGACUGAAGAAAAGAGUUAGACAGCCAUCUUUCCUUAGAGGAUUUUGCUGCAGACAGCUUGAACUACCAGAAGGUUAUAUACUGACCAUGGGUAGAGUAAGGAAGAAAUACAUCCUUCGGAAAGGACAAUGAAGAUCUUUACAGCAGGGAGGUGAGGACAAAGUGAUUCUCCCUUCUGGAGGAUGCAGCAAAGUGCUGCCUGCCAUCUUGGAAGCACAGAGUAGCCUUCACCACACUCUAAUCCCAUCAGAGCCUUGAUCUUGGACUUGCCAGCCUUCAGAACAGUCUUGCCUCAUCACUGCCAUGACAGGGGGGUCCAAUGUGAGGAUUCUGGUGUCUAUGCCAAGCAUCUCUUUUCCAACGUAGAUCUGAUUUCUUAACAUAGCCAACAGCAAGUCAACAUCAGCUUUGCAGAGAAAAGCAGGGAUGCGUGUGCACAAAGAAAAGGCCAUGUGAGGACAUAGCAAGAGGGAAGCUGUCCGCAAGCCAAGGAAAAAGGCCUCAGGAGAAACCAAAUCUGCCAAUACAUUGAUCUUGGACUUCCAGCAUUCAGAAAUGUAUGUGAAAAUUAAGGACAGAUCCUAUGCUGACCUGAUAAACAAAGAUAGCUCUUUCGAGCUCAAUGUACAUUGAGUGUAACAAGAGGGAAGGAGGGAGGAAACCACUGCCCAUUUGGGAUUCCUUCAAAUUCACAUCUCUCCAAAAUGGGAGACUUGUAUUUUCUGACAUUCAACUUAAUCGAAGAAUAAAGCUUUAACAGUGGCAUCAGUGACAUGAUGAAUGAUGCAUCAUUUUGAAGUAAUAAUGGUUUUCCCAGUGACUCAGAAAUAGCAGUAUGUUCAGAUUCAGUGUGCCUGUUCAUGAGAGCUCUGCAGAAAUUGCACAUCUGGCUCUUUGCCUGUGCACCUGAAGUUAUCUCAGGAGAAAUUAUACAAAUUAAAUACAGACACAGAGAAGGUCUUUUUUAAUUCAAAGGAAAAGAAUAUAUAUUCAAGAAAAGCAAAAAAGGUAAGAGAAAAGGUAAGGGACUGUAGUGAUAUUAAGCUAGGAAACUAACAAAAUGAUGACAAUAUAAAAUAAAUGAUGUGAAAAGAACAACAAAAACAAUAUAAAGUAGAAAUGAAAAUAUAUUGUGUUGGCUCAGGAAAAUAUUUAAAUUACUUUCUUUCUUCUAUUCCAUAGGUGGAAGUUGGGCCUUUGGUCAUUAAUUCUCUCUCUCUCUCUUGCUAAUUUUUGCAAAUAGGGAGAACUUGGAACAUCUGCCAAAAUUUUUAUUUUGUGCUUUAUUUUGGCUACCUGUUUAUUCCAUAGAACUAUGACUUGUCCUGGUGAUUCAGGCUUACUCCUUAAUUUCUGAACUGAUUGCCAGAGAGUCAGGGAUAUACACAUACAUUAUAUAUACACACACACACACACACACACACACACACACACACACACACAUAUAUAUAUACACACACAUACAUAUAUAUAUAUACACACACAUACAUAUACAUAUAUGGGAGAUUAUAUCUAUAUCUAUAUCUAUGUCUAUCCCUCCCAUGUUAUUUCCUGCUUUUCUACUACUUGUUCCACUUUCCCCAGGUCUUUUGAAACUAAAAAUAAAAUUAUCACCUCACUGUAAGUAUCAUGUCUUCUGCUUCAGGGGUUGCACACUGCUUCAAGGUAGUAAUUGUUAAUUAUUCAAGACUGACUUCUUGUAAAGUAAUCUUCUAGAAAGACAGCUGGACUUUUAAGACUUCAUGAACUCUAAAGAUAUGGCAGGCCAGGAUCCAAGGCCAAAGGUAUAAUACCUCCAAAAGCUACGGUUAUGAGUCUUGGAAGUCAGCCCUUGGUUGUAUCAGAGGAAAUACAGUUCUCUCUAACCAUGAAUGCUGAAGAGGAAGAAUCAAGCUGGAGGCUAGGAUUAUGCCAUAUCAUACUGCUUUUGGAUCUCAGCACACAGGAUGCCAGGGGAGGGUAAUGUUCUUACCAUGAAGCUUGUCAUCAGAGGUCCAAAAGAAGAGAGCCACAAAAUGUGUACUGUUCAAUGUUGUGUGCACAUCUAGCAUGAAACAUCUUUUGCAUCAGUGACCAAUCUGAGUACUUACAUCUUAACUCUAAGGCACACACUAAAAUACAUAAUGCCUGGUUGUUCCUAGAUACUUACUUGGUAUAAAAUUUAAUUUUUUCUAAAAAUGAUCUUAUAUGGUAGCUUUUUUUUUUGAGACGGAGUUUCGCUCUUGUUGCCCAGGCUGGAGGGCAAUGGCAUGACCUCAGCUCACUGCAACCUCCAUCUCCCGGGUUCAAGCAAUUCUCCUGCUUCAGCCUCCAGAGUAGCUGGGAUCACAGGCGCCCAUCACCAUGCCCAGCUAAUUUUUUGUAUUUUUAGUAGAGACAGGGUUUCCCCAUGUUGGCCAGGCUGGUCUUGAACUCCUGACCUCAGGUGAUCCACCUGCCUCUGCCUCCCAAAGUUCUGGGAUUACAGGCGUGAGCCACCACGCCCGGUCAUAUGUAGCUCUUUACUGUCUUUACAGCAUGAUAGCUGCUUAAUACAUAUUCAAUAUUCAUUGAAUUAUAACAUUCACUGAAUUGCAAUAUUUUUUCUCAUUGUUCACUCUGUUUUCCGAUUUUUCACAUACCCAUCCACAUCCCCAAUGCUCACAACUAGCCGCAACAUGAAUACUUUAAAUCAAUGAAGUCCCUGAAAUAAAAAAUUAUGAAUAAUCAUUAUUUUUGUCGUUUUUGUCAUUGUUUACAUCUAGUGAGACAGAAUUCUUUAUUACCAAAUUCUGUUCACGUUAUAGCCACUUCCUUCUCUGAAACUUCAUUAUCACCAUUAUAGCUUCUGGUAUGAUCAGCUAAUCUCACCAUUACAAAAGUCACUUACCUGAUCCUCCUGAAAAGUGUCUUGACCUAACCCUAAUACAAAGCAUUAAUUUUUUAAGUUUUCUUUUAUGGGAAAUUAUUUACAUUUAAUUAUAACACACAUAUAGUAAAAUGUACAUAUCAUCAAUACACACUUCCACGAAGUUUAACAAAAUGAAUUAAUACAUAUAACCACCAUAGAUCAAAUAAAAUAUUUAAACUUUCAGAUAGCCAUACUAAUGGCCUAAAUGCAAAUCUCUCUGCAUAGUAUUUCAAAAACUGUAGAGAUGAACCGCAAGAACAAAAUGAACACACAUUCUACAUCUUCA